GACGAACCGUGCGAACGUUGUUCGGAAUCACUGGGCUUAAAGGGCGCGUAGGCGGGUUCGCAAGUCAGGGGUGAAAUCUUUCAGCUUAACUGGAAAACAGCCCCUGAUACUGCGAGUCUCGAGGGAGGUAGGGGCAUGUGGAACUUCCGGUGGAGCGGUGAAAUGCGUAGAUAUCGGAAGGAACGCCGGUGGCGAAAGCGGCGCACUGGACCACAACUGACGCUGAGGCGCGAAAGCUAGGGGAGCAAACAGG
This 253-nucleotide ribosomal RNA is filed under the name uncultured bacterium. RNAcentral's name for it is "partial 16S ribosomal RNA". It matches the Rfam family "Bacterial small subunit ribosomal RNA", at positions 524 to 776 of the family's 1533-position model. The record is from RNAcentral.